Megalobrama amblycephala (Wuchang bream) is the source of this 1826-nucleotide long non-coding RNA. RefSeq lists it as uncharacterized. Lineage: Eukaryota; Metazoa; Chordata; Actinopteri; Cypriniformes; Xenocyprididae. The record is from RefSeq and is a predicted model, not a curated record. The transcript is spliced from 3 exons.
GGAAAGCAGCUAAAGUCACUCAAAAAGUCGCUAAAUGCCGCUAAUGUCAGCAUUAUGUUCUGUUCAGUGUGUUUUUUCCUGUCAAAAUAAACUGACCUAGUUUCCAAGUCUGUGUCAGUUUCAUUUUGUUCACCUGGUGUUCAUUAAUUACCUCAUUAGUUCCCUCAUUUAGUGUGGUUUAUUUUCUCUCUGUGUUCAGUUCUUUGUCCCGUCUUGUCAAUGUUAAGUGGUUGUGUUUUCCCAUUCUCCUGUGAUUCCCCUGCUGGAUUUAAUAAAGACUGUUUGUGUUUUGAUAUUCUCCUGUCGUGUUUAUACCCAGCCACACGUGACUUUACAUGUGUUUUAUUCAUAAAGCAUGAGAGGAGAGCACUGGGACUGUUAGGCUGCGUCCGAAACCGCCUACUUCUCUACUAUUUAGUAGGGGAAAAGCAGUAGGCGAGCGAAUAAGUAUGUCUGAAGCAAAAAGAGUAGGUGAAAAUUACCUGCGUGACGUACUAAUUCUCGCGAGAUUCGGACGUGCGCCUACUUAAAGUGCGUCCGAAACCGCCUACUUACCUAAUAUAUAAUAGGGGAAAGCAGUAGGCGAGCAAUAAAGUAUGUCAGAAACCUCAGUAAUCAUAAAAUAGUAGUCGAGGAGUUCCCGAAUGGCCUACUGCUUCCGCCCAGAUUCUGAAGUAUUCCUUGCUGGAUACUUUUCUAUCCCAGCAGGCCACGGGAGAGGAUACGUCAUAAUCGAACACGGAGGAGAAAAGCGGCGCGGAUGCUGUCAAAUGGACAGAUGAUCACGUGUGUUUAUCCGGUGGAGGAAUGAUGCCAUCAAAGGCUUUGAAGCUUUUGUGGAGCAGGACCUGCAAGAAAAGCUGACGACAGUAUUUGUUAUAAAAAAAAAGAGGAAAACCUGAAACAAAAUAAAAAUAUAUAUAAAGUAAGUAACAAAAUAUAAAGUAAGAUCAUUUUGUUAUUUCUAAUACAGUGAAUGCCCUCAGACUGGUGAGAGCACUGAGGAUGGAGAGCCACAGCAGAUCCUGGGAAUGGUUCAGUGUUAUGGACGAGAUCCUCCAUCACUCCUCCUUCCAAGUGACUCGACCAAGGACACACUGGAGGAGACGCUGCAGAGAUCGAACCAGCAACCUUCUGCUGACCAGCUCAGUGGUUUAGACCACCACACCACAAAACUAAUGAAGCCAUGACAAGAAUUAGCAAUUGAAAAAUAUGAAAUGAAAUAUGCAAGAAACAGAAUGCUGACAUGAAUUAAUUGUAAAAUGUUUUAAUCUGCUGAUGGAGAGCACAUGAAUGUUUGCAGCAGCAGAUUGUCCCACACAUCUUCUCCCACUACUGCUCCAAGGUUGAGGGGUUCAGGGUUCCAUCAUCAUCAUCAUCAUCAUCAUCAUCAUCAUCAUCAUCAUCAUCUUCAGCAGUGAGGAACAUGAUGAUGAAGGUGUUCAUCAGCUGCUUGAUCAGAAUACAGCUGCAGAAUUGGCACAGCUGUGUUGAGAUGACAACAGGACUGUAAAUACCUGAUUGUUAGAUCAAUACAUUUGAAUAAAGCUUUGUUUCGUGUGUUGUUGACUUGUAUAUGCAUUUAUUUGUCAUUAUUACUUUUAUUAAUUCUUUACUUAUUAAUUAUGCUAUUAUCAGUAAAUGUAUAUAUUUUAAUAAGCAAUGAAUUAAUGCAUGAAUUGACUGUAAAUGGAGAUGUAUUCACAUCAGCUGUAUUUGUCUAGUGUGUGUUCAUGCACAGCUGUCAUAUAACUAAACAUUACAUUUUGCUUGUUUUAUUAAAGAAGUAAAAUGAAAAGUAAUAUAAUUAAGUUUUGGUCAGCAUU